RNAcentral lists this ribosomal RNA (497 nucleotides) under uncultured bacterium. Its description in RNAcentral is "partial 16S ribosomal RNA". It matches the Rfam family "Bacterial small subunit ribosomal RNA", at positions 28 to 507 of the family's 1533-position model. The record is from RNAcentral.
GAUGAACGCUGGCGGCGUGCCUAAUACAUGCAAGUCGAGCGAACAGACGAGGAGCUUGCUCCUCUGACGUUAGCGGCGGACGGGUGAGUAACACGUGGAUAACCUACCUAUAAGACUGGGAUAACUUCGGGAAACCGGAGCUAAUACCGGAUAAUAUAUUGAACCGCAUGGUUCAAUAGUGAAAGACGGUUUUGCUGUCACUUAUAGAUGGAUCCGCGCCGCAUUAGCUAGUUGGUAAGGUAACGGCUUACCAAGGCGACGAUGCGUAGCCGACCUGAGAGGGUGAUCGGACACACUGGAACUGAGACACGGUCCAGACUCCGACGGGAGGCAGCAGUAGGGAAUCUUCCGCAAUGGGCGAAAGCCUGACGGAGCAACGCCGCGUGAGUGAUGAAGGUCUUCGGAUCGUAAAACUCUGUUAUUGGGGAAGAACAAAUGUGUAAGUAACUAUGCACGUCUUGACGGUACCUAAUCAGAAAGCCACGGCUAACUACGUG